ACACGGAGGGUGCAAGCGUUACUCGGAAUCACUGGGCGUAAAGCGCGCGCAGGCGGCUAUUUAAGUUGGAUGUGAAAGCCUACGGCUCAACCGUAGAACUGCAUCCAAAACUAUUUAGCUAGAGUGUGGGAGAGGAAGAUGGAAUUAGUUGUGUAGGGGUAAAAUCCGUAGAGAUAACUAGGAAUACCAAAAGCGAAGGCAAUCUUCUGGAACACUACUGACGCUGAGGCGCGAAAGCGUGGGGAGCAAACAGGAUUAGAAACCCUAGUAGUCC
RNAcentral lists this ribosomal RNA (274 nucleotides) under uncultured bacterium. RNAcentral's name for it is "partial 16S ribosomal RNA". It matches the Rfam family "Bacterial small subunit ribosomal RNA", at positions 523 to 796 of the family's 1533-position model. The record is from RNAcentral.